AGGAAGCAACAAGAAGGUUGGUGGGAGAGAUGAGUUAUGAGCCAGGUUCUAAAGAGAAGAAUGCUCACUGUUGCUCAUUUAUAAAACAAUCAGUUCUGGUAUAUUUUAGGUAUAUAGUUGAUUCUAGGCUUUGAAUCUAAGGUUUGUAUUUUCUUCACACGGCUGAUUUUAAAUUAUAUGAGAAUGUAGCAGAAACUAGAAGUGUAUUUUAAAACUGAUUUUGGUGGUAGAACAGUUAGCUUAAAAAUACCAGUUAAAUAAAAUUUAAUUUCAAACACACGAAUGAUGAAAUACACAUAUCCCAGAAGUUUGUUUAGGGAUAAGAUCAGCGAACUUUUAAUGGUUCAAUUCAAUUUUUGUGUUCAGUUUACAUAUAUGUUUUUCUCUCAUAUUUGUUUUUACUCAUAUUUUGUGUUACCCAAGUUGAUGUGUUCUCAAAAAUCUAACCUUCCUAGGGCCUAGAGCAUUUCUUUGGUGCUGCCC
This 483-nucleotide long non-coding RNA is filed under the name Homo sapiens (human). RNAcentral describes it as "HSALNT0206109". The record is from RNAcentral. Lineage: Eukaryota; Metazoa; Chordata; Mammalia; Primates; Hominidae.